RNAcentral lists this ribosomal RNA (402 nucleotides) under uncultured bacterium. Its description in RNAcentral is "bacterial SSU rRNA". It matches the Rfam family "Bacterial small subunit ribosomal RNA", at positions 355 to 774 of the family's 1533-position model. The record is from RNAcentral.
UGGGGAAUCUUGGACAAUGGGGGCAACCCUGAUCCAGCGAUGCCGCGUGAGCGAAGAAGGCCUUAGGGUUGUAAAGCUCUUUCGCCCGCGACGAUGAUGACGGUAGCGGGAGAAGAAGCCCCGGCUAACUCCGUGCCAGCAGCCGCGGUAAUACGGAGGGGGCUAGCGUUGUCCGGAAUUACUGGGCGUAAAGCGCGCGUAGGCGGUCCACCAAGUCGGGGGUGAAAGCCCGGGGCUCAACCCCGGAAUGUCCUCCGAGACUGUUGGACUGGAGUUCGGGGGAGGAGAGCGGAAUUCCCAGUGUAGAGGUGAAAUUCGUAGAUAUUGGGAAGAACACCGGUGGCGAAGGCGGCUCUCUGGCCCGCAACUGACGCUGAGGCGCGAAAGCGUGGGGAGCAAACA